Dipodomys ordii (Ord's kangaroo rat) is the source of this 58-nucleotide non-coding RNA. The record is from Rfam. NCBI's taxonomy places the organism in Eukaryota, Metazoa, Chordata, Mammalia, Rodentia, Heteromyidae.
UGGCUCAGUGGUAGAGUGCUUGCCUUGCAUGCAUGAGGCCCUGAGUUCGAUUCCUUAG